AACCUGCGGAAGGAUCAUUAUCAAAAGUCAAGUCGGGGGCUGUAAAGCUCUCGUCUACACCCAUGUCUUUUGCGUACUCUUGUUUCCUCGGUGGCGCAAGCUGCCGAUUGGACAAACCAAAACCUUUUUUGUAAUUGCAAUCAGCGUCUGAAAAUAAUCUAAUUAUUUACAACUUUCAACAACGGAUCUCUUGGUUCUGGCAUCGAUGAAGAACGCAGCGAAAUGCGAUAAGUAGUGUGAAUUGCAGAAUUCAGUGAAUCAUCGAAUCUUUGAACGCACAUUGCGCCCCUUGGUAUUCCAUGGGGCAUGCCUGUUCGAGCGUCAUUUGUACCCUCAAGCUUUGCUUGGUGUUGGGCGUCUUGUCGUAUUACGACUCGCCUUAAAUUCAUUGGCAGCCGGCACUUUGGCCUAGGAGCGCAGCACAUUUUGCGAUCGUAGCCCGUUGCACUGGCGUCCAUCAAGAACAUUUACCACGUUUGACCUCGGAUCAGGUAGGGAUAC
Molecule: ribosomal RNA, 501 nt
Filed under: Setophoma terrestris
Lineage: Eukaryota; Fungi; Ascomycota; Dothideomycetes; Pleosporales; Phaeosphaeriaceae
Description: eukaryotic LSU rRNA
Rfam family: 5.8S ribosomal RNA (bases 171-324)
Source: RNAcentral